Molecule: ribosomal RNA, 253 nt
Filed under: uncultured bacterium
Lineage: Bacteria
Description: partial 16S ribosomal RNA
Rfam family: Bacterial small subunit ribosomal RNA
Source: RNAcentral
UACGUAGGGGGCGAGCGUUGUCCGGAAUGACUGGGCGUAAAGGGUGCGUAGGCGGCCCGAGAGGUCCUGGGUGAAAGGCCCCGGCUCAACCGGGGAGGGCCCCAGGAAACCGGCGGGCUAGAGGGCUGGAGAGGGCCGCGGAAUUCCCGGUGUAGCGGUGAAAUGCUUAGAUAUGACAUAGAACACCAAUUGCGAAGGCAGCUUACUACACAAUGAUUGACGCUGAGGCACGAAAGCGUGGGGAUCAAACAGG